CAGUAGCCGCGGGAAUACGGAGGGGGCUAGCGUUGUUCGGAAUUACUGGGCGUAAAGCGCACGUAGGCGGCUUUGUAAGUUAGAGGUGAAAGCCUGGGGCUCAACUCCAGAAUUGCCUUUAAGACUGCAUCGCUUGAACGUCGGAGAGGUGAGUGGAAUUCCGAGUGUAGAGGUGAAAUUCGUAGAUAUUCGGAAGAACACCAGUGGCGAAGGCGGCUCACUGGACGACUGUUGACGCUGAGGUGCGAAAGCGUGGGGAGCAAACAGGAUUAGAUACCCCAGUAGUCCCUGUCUCUUAUAA
RNAcentral lists this ribosomal RNA (301 nucleotides) under uncultured bacterium. Its description in RNAcentral is "partial 16S ribosomal RNA". It matches the Rfam family "Bacterial small subunit ribosomal RNA", at positions 509 to 809 of the family's 1533-position model. The record is from RNAcentral.